AAUUUUGCAUUUUUUGUAGAUGGGGUUUUGCCAUGUUCGGGCACAAGUGAUCCACCUGCCUCAGCCUCCCAAAGUGUUGGGAUUACAGGCGUGAACCACCUUGUCUAGCCUGGAGUCACUGUUAAUUUCUUCUGUUGGUCCAUGGCAAGGUUUACAGAUGACUUUGUUUGGAAAGCCUGAAUCUGUUUUUAAAAGCAGGGAUGGGGAGUGGGAAAUCACAGUAGUUACUACUUGAGUCUAUUUAGUGGACUAUAAAAAUUACUAUAGCUUCAGUUUAACCUAAUCAGAGCUUGCCAUGAAUUCGAGCCUGCUUGCCUCUCUUCAGGAAAUUAAUCUGGGUCAUUUGACUGUCCCAGUUAAGCAGGUACAUGUUUUAACAGUUUUAAAGGCAAUUGCUGCCUGUAUUUGGUUUUUCAGAGUAUAUACCCGGUUAUCCUUGCCAAUACAUUUAAACCUCUUAGCCUACAGAUCUUUUCUUUUUACCAGCCUCAGUGUUUUGUGUUUUUCAUUUUUUUGUGGAGACAGGGUCUCUAUUUCCCAGGCUGGUCUCGAACUCCUGGCCUCAAGCAGUCUGUCUGCCUCAGCCUCUGAAAGCAUUGGGAUUAAAGGCGUGAGCCACCAUGCCCAGGCCAGCCUUGAUGUUUAUUAAUCCUUUUCAGUGACAGUCUCACUCUCCCUCUUUCUUUCUCUAGUGAUUCCUUCCUCUGACGCCUGCUCUUACAAUAGGCGUCCCUGCGAGAAGAGUCACCCAGUGGCAUCAAGAGCUCUGGGCAGGAUCCGUCCACUUCCAGAGUGGCCUGAAGAGUGGAACACAUUUCUUUUUAGUUAAAUGAGUUUCUUCGAUAUGGCUCAUUCAUUCGGCACAUGUGCUGGGUGCCUACUGUUUGCUGGACACUGCGGAGCCUGGUGGAUGCUGGGGGAAGCAGAUGGGUCUGGUCCUGGCCUCCAGGAGCUUACUAGUUAAAUGUGGGAGUCAUUGCUAAUCAUUUACGAAUACAAACAGAAGCUUGCACGAGUAACCCAGGUCCGCAAGGAACUGAAAUCCCAUAUUCAGAGCUUGCCAGACCUCUCACUGCUGCCCAACGUCACAGGGGGCUUAGCCCCCCUGCCCUCUGCUGGGGACCUGUUUUCAACUGACUAGGAUGGGUGUCAUGUCCCAGAUUUCUGUUUGUACCAGCAGAAAGAAGAGGGCAAGUCAUGGUUGGAAAUAACCUUCUAGCCCCUGGUUCUAUCCCUUCUUCCGCCCAGCCCCCCAGCCUCAAGAAAGAACCUCAGACUCUGAUUCUCCUCUUCAGCCUCUCAUCUUGAGCACAGUUCAGAACAGUGGCGACUGGAAUCUGGUUUAUAUUCAUAUUUGCAAAGACUACAGACUUUUUCUCCCACUUCAUAUUUUCAUGCCCCCCUGUUGGUUUUCCAUUCUUAACUGUCUCCUUAUACCUAAGAAGUUAUGAAAAUCAUGUGUACUUCUGGAAGCUUUCGAAAGAAUCUUGUCCCUCAUGACAGCAUUUUAUCAUGAAAGCAGCUUCUCCUUUCUGGGCUGGGCUUGUUCAAGUUCGGUGUGGGCUUCCACUAAGGCACUUGUCCUGGAGACGUUGGCUUUCCCAGCUGCAUCUGCCCCAAAAGGUUGUAGGCACAGCUGUCGUAGCGUUGCCAUAAAGAGUUUGCCAAAUCUCUGAUCCUCCCUUUCCAUUGCUUCUCCUAGUGAUGCACGAAGAUUAGGUGCAUUUAUUUUGUAAACAGAUUGGAGAAUCUAGCAAUAAGAUUCAAAGCUAAUCUGGAGCAUAAAGGCACAGUUCAGAGACAGAAUAACAGGGAUCACAAGCAUGAAUUAAAAGGAAUUUAUUUGCUUCAAGUUCCUAGAUACAACCUUCCCAUGCUGCACUUCUCCACUGUCGGAGCACGUUCCGAAAAACAGAAUGCCUUGAUCCCUGGUGGGUGCGAAGGCAGUUGUUAGGGAUGGCAGGCAUUGGUGGGCUCCAAAAGAUGAAGGCCCCACACACAGGUGUGCUGCAUUUGGGAUCUGUGUGGGUGUUUCUUGGACCCUUUCUUCUGGGAGUAGGGUACACACUAACGUUUAAUCCGCUGUCUGGGUGCAUGUCCACAGUACGGUGGCUAAACUCGAACAUCACUGCAAAUAGGACGCUGAGCAGGUCCGUCUGUCAUGUCACGCCACUGCACAGGUCCUUGUCCCCACACGACGGGGAGUACUUGCGUCAGAUGUUAUUGAAUAGCUCGUCUCGGGCAGGGGAAGCGGGGAGUUGGGGAUAUUAAUUGGGGGUUUUAAUUCUAUUAUCAUGUCAGCUGACAUUAUGACUAUAUAAUGUAGUUAGAGACAAUUUUUAUCUUGCUUAUAGUAAAGGUUCAGCCUGCCAAUUGUAAAUCAUUCUAAUUUGGCAGGCUUAUUUUUGACAUUGGAAAGGGCAGAAAGCGAUUUGCCCCAGUAGUGUAAUAGGAGUUAUAGACCAGAGGCUGAAACCCAAACUAUAUAAAAAGGAAUUCAGUGGAGGGGGCUUUGUAAUCUCCAUUAAUUUGUGUUGCUACUUCCAGGAUCACCAAAAAUUACAUGUAAUUUUACAUGUUAAACACAUUGAAACAUAACCUAUGUUUAUAAAGCAUAACGGGCUUCCCUUCCAGAAGCUCUCCUGCUUGUCAUGAAGUGAGAACAAUGAAAAGUCAUAGCAGAUACUCAGUUUAACUCUGUGUAGAACCUAGUAGUGUUUGAGCUGUUAUUCAGAUUUGAAUUCAGACUGUGUGUUGUUUGCUUAUGGACACUGCCUGUCGUUCUGUCACUGUUAAAUUAAUGAGUCUAUAAGGUUUUUCUUCCAGAGGCCAUAGGUGACAUCACUAAAAUUGCAAGAUAAAUUGUAAUCUUUGCUGCUGCUGCACUCCCCAACCUCUCCCCCACCCCCCGUGGUGUGCUGCUUUCUAGAUGAGCGUGUUUUGGAGCAGGCCCAUCUGGGACACUCUAUGCUUUCACCAAGGAAGUGCGAUCUGAGCAGCCACAAUCCAGCCAAAAGAGGAUCGUAGAUAUUUGCUCUGAUCAACUAGAUGAAAAUAUAGCAGAAUGGAUUUAGCCCACUGCUCUGUUUUAUCCAACUGAGUCUCUGACCAGCAAUUGGUGCAUAAUUAUUACAGCAAAAGUUAAGAAAUGAAACUGUAGCAAUUAUGUAAAUGAAUGUGUUGGCCUCUUAAUACCUGUUACUAGUGGACUUCCUGUGAGGAAGUUAGUUUUUUGUUUUGAUGAAAUGCUUUCGUUUUUUAAAUCUUAAUUCUGCUGUCCACAUCCUCCCAAAGUGUGCUUACUUCAUUUGUUUAAUUUAAAUGAACUUUCCUCCUUGUAUGUAUGAGGUGACUUGGUGGGUGGGGUGGGUGGUUUUUGUUUUUGUGUUUUUUCUUUCUUAGGGCAUCUGUAGGCCUCAAAGGACCUUUCCUUUAGGUCAUAUUCCUCAGAAAGUCUUCAAUCUUCCCUUGUUUUUGUUUGUUUGUUUUUCUUAAAGAAUAUUUUCAAAGCUUAAAUUUGUAUAUUAAUUUAGGACUAUUUAGAAGUAUAGGCUGUCGUUGGCGGCAGCAGUAUAUUCUGAAAUGUCUCAUAGAUAUAUAUUUUUGAAUAAAGAUGGUGUUGUUGAA
RNAcentral lists this long non-coding RNA (3627 nucleotides) under Homo sapiens (human). RNAcentral's name for it is "HSALNT0266910". The record is from RNAcentral. Lineage: Eukaryota; Metazoa; Chordata; Mammalia; Primates; Hominidae.